RNAcentral lists this ribosomal RNA (370 nucleotides) under uncultured bacterium. RNAcentral describes it as "bacterial SSU rRNA". It matches the Rfam family "Bacterial small subunit ribosomal RNA", at positions 30 to 402 of the family's 1533-position model. The record is from RNAcentral.
AUUGAACGCUGGCGGCAUGCCUUACACAUGCAAGUCGAACGGCAGCGGGCCUUCGGGUGCCGGCGAGUGGCGAACGGGUGAGUAAUGCAUCGGAACGUGCCAUUGAGUGGGGGAUAACGUAGCGAGAGUUACGCUAAUACCGCAUAUUCUGUGAGCAGGAAAGCAGGGGACCGCAAGGCCUUGCGCUCUUUGAGCGGCCGAUGUCAGAUUAGCUAGUUGGUGAGGUAAAGGCUUACCAAGGCGACGAUCUGUAGCGGGUCUGAGAGGAUGAUCCGCCACACUGGAACUGAGACACGGUCCAGACUCCUACGGGAGGCAGCAGUGGGGAAUUUUGGACAAUGGGCGCAAGCCUGAUCCAGCCAUGCCGCGU